Molecule: long non-coding RNA, 894 nt
Organism: Coregonus clupeaformis (lake whitefish)
Lineage: Eukaryota; Metazoa; Chordata; Actinopteri; Salmoniformes; Salmonidae
Exons: 7
Source: RefSeq, a predicted model, not a curated record
CAAAGGGACGAUGGACGGGGCCAUGUACCGUCAAAUCUUGGUACCAAGAGUCAGGUCCCUACAUCCCUAACAAGGGUUUCCAUGAGGGUAAGGGGACUCGGGGGAGGCCCCCUCCACUCAACCCCUCUGCGGAGGAACUACCCCAGUUUGUACAAAAACUGGGCCCUGCACCUCCCCCUGGUAGCGCUGCCUCUAUACCUGACUGCAAAGAAGAAUGUAGAAGAAUUCAUCCAUCAAGUACAUAGGGACCACUGUCAUCAGUGUGCUCCUUCUCAUAUUGGUUGCUGGGAUCUUGCUUGGAUACUACUUGUCCUCCAGAUGUGCGCGUGGGGUGGCAUGUGGCGAUGGUCGCUGUGUCAGCCAGUCUCAGUGGUGUGAUGGGUGAGGCUAUGUGGCUCCAGUUUUCUUCUGCACGCCUAUUCGUCUACCAGUGGAUCGUGGAGGACAGUGUGCUCAGAUGGAUUGGCUGAUCACCAUGGGAAGGCAGCCUGUCAGCAUUUAGGAUACAGCAGUAAAACCUGUCCCAGUGUUAAGGGGGUAACCCUGAAGUGCAUAGACUGUGGUACCAGAGUAAUCGUGGGAGCCCAGGAGGCCAGUUUGGGGCCAUGGCAAGUCAGCCUCUAAGUCGACGGCUUUCAUAUCUGUGGCGGUUCUAUCAUCACCCCCUACUGGAUCGUGACGGCAGCACACUGCGUAGUGGAGUUAUGUCCAUAGACAUACAUACUGUUCAGUAUAUGCACUAUAUUAUUGAAAUAUACUGUAUAUCAUUGGGUAUGUCCAGCACAGUCCACUUCUGAGCUUAUUUAUUGAAUCUGUGGCAUCCUGGUUAAAUUGACUAGUUUGUCAGUUGUCUUUAAUUUCAGUUGCUCUUAUCCUAAAGACUGGACAGUACAU